UUGAACAUCACAGAUACUAAAACUGGAACAAAUCCCGAAGAUACCAGUGCGGCCCCUGCACAAGGAUGACAGGCAAUCUCAUGAAGGAUUCCACAUUUAA
RNAcentral lists this small nuclear RNA (100 nucleotides) under Mesocricetus auratus (golden hamster). The record is from RNAcentral. Lineage: Eukaryota; Metazoa; Chordata; Mammalia; Rodentia; Cricetidae.